Molecule: unclassified non-coding RNA, 143 nt
Filed under: Moritella viscosa
Lineage: Bacteria; Pseudomonadati; Pseudomonadota; Gammaproteobacteria; Alteromonadales; Moritellaceae
Description: putative sRNA
Source: RNAcentral
AUUAAGUAUAUUAAUGUCACAUUUAGAUACUUAAUCUUAAUAAUUAUCGAAUUGUAGGUAUUAACGGUUGUAGCUUGAUGAUAGUUUAGAAUUAAUAGUAAUUAACUGAAUUAAUUGUUAUUGUGAAGAAUACUCCUUUAGAG